UGGGGAAUCUUGCGCAAUGGGCGAAAGCCUGACGCAGCCAUGCCGCGUGAAUGAUGAAGGUCUUAGGAUUGUAAAAUUCUUUCACCGGGGACGAUAAUGACGGUACCCGGAGAAGAAGCCCCGGCUAACUUCGUGCCAGCAGCCGCGGUAAUACGAAGGGGGCUAGCGUUGCUCGGAAUUACUGGGCGUAAAGGGAGCGUAGGCGGACAUUUAAGUCAGGGGUGAAAUCCCGGGGCUCAACCUCGGAAUUGCCUUUGAUACUGGGUGUCUUGAGUGUGAGAGAGGUAUGUGGAACUCCGAGUGUAGAGGUGAAAUUCGUAGAUAUUCGGAAGAACACCAGUGGCGAAGGCGACAUACUGGCUCAUUACUGACGCUGAGGCUCAAAGCGUGGGGAGCAAACAGGAUUAGAUACCCUGGUAGUCCACG
Molecule: ribosomal RNA, 426 nt
Filed under: uncultured bacterium
Lineage: Bacteria
Description: partial 16S ribosomal RNA
Rfam family: Bacterial small subunit ribosomal RNA
Source: RNAcentral